Long non-coding RNA from Myodes glareolus (Bank vole), 570 nucleotides. RefSeq lists it as uncharacterized. NCBI's taxonomy places the organism in Eukaryota, Metazoa, Chordata, Mammalia, Rodentia, Cricetidae. The record is from RefSeq and is a predicted model, not a curated record.
GUUCUUUUGGGGGGGGGUUAACAGAGUUUUGAGUUGUUUAUUCCCGACCCUAAGAUGAGCUCAUAUUCCACAUCUCCAGGUAAAUCCCUCAGUACCGGAACUUUCUGUCUGCUUCCCUUUCUCAGGUCAAGCGCUCCUUUCCUGACUUUGAUCCAACUGUCAACUCCAACAAGAAGCUUUGCUACCAGCCUCCCUGUGGGAGGAGACAUUGCGGGCGGCCUCCCAGCAAGUCAAUCCUUCUCCUGAGGCUCCAGACAAAGACACCAUUGUCUUCUCCGCUUGAGUCAGGCUGCGGUUUGUUUGCCUUCUGGCCUCUCUCAAUGGAGCCCCUGAUGUAAGAUAAGGUGAGUCUGUCCUGUAACCCUGUCCCUGAUACUGGACGAAAGCAAUCAUCUCUGUCAAGCAUACAGAAGAUAGUGUUGGCUCCUCACCCAGAUCAACUUCUUGGGCUGAUGCCUAACCCCAGUGGCCAUGUGAGCUGGCCGCUAACAGUUCCUGGGUGUCCCCUUCUCCAAGGAUUGAGCACUAGCAACUAACUUUCCCAACGCCGGGAAUAAAAUGUUUUCAGUA